RNAcentral lists this small RNA (1400 nucleotides) under Vigna angularis var. angularis. RNAcentral describes it as "Non-protein coding transcript". The record is from RNAcentral. Lineage: Eukaryota; Viridiplantae; Streptophyta; Magnoliopsida; Fabales; Fabaceae.
UAACAGAUAAUAAGACAUUAUCUCCCCACGAAAUAAAUUUAAAAACAAACAAGCAGCCUUGUAAACGGGAUAUAUCCAUGUUAGGACUUAAGCACAUGAGGAGAGUUCAACCCAAAAAACAAAUCCAUUAUGUUGGAGAACUUUAAGACUUAAGUACAACAUCAAGUACAUUAUCCUACUUGUGGGAUUCCUAUAGUUUGACAUGAUUUCUAAAGCCUUUUUCAAAACCAUAUUAGUAGGUCAACUCACUGUUUUGGUAAUCUCUGGUGAGGUUUCUGAAAACCUGUUUGCUCUAAGACCAUAGGGUUAGGAUUACACCAAGCCCAUCCACCCAACUGUACAAACUCUGACUCAAACCACCCAUCAAUGUAAGGAUUUGCAUGUGCAUCAUCUCCCCUGCGGUUCACAACUCUGGUCAGCACAUGGCAGAACUUGAAAUAAUGUCUCAUGGCUGACCAACCUGCGCCCAGGUUACCACCUUCGUAUGACCCUACCCCUGUGGUGGUAGCUCCAUUGGAGAUCAUUCAGUGAUUCAACUUACUUUUCUCACAGAUUAUUUUAUUAUUUUUUCCAUAUUUCUAUACAAAAGAUGUCUUCCAACAGCCAAUAAACAUCCAUAACAGAUUCACCCUUCUUUAUCAAGCAUAUUGUUAGUAUUACAUAGGAUUUCAAAAUUAAGUAAUGAUUAAGUGGGUUGGGCUACAAAGCUCGUCUCACCACAAUUGUUGAAUCUAUUCCUACAAAACAUGAACAAUGGAUGAAGACUAAUGCUUAACAAUGUAAUGUUAUUAAAUCCACAAUACACCUCACCCAAACCUAUUUUUUGUCGGCAUGAAACAUUUCGAUAACUUUGAAGUGAGGCCCAUAUACCAAUGGCAGACAACAAACCUACAGUGUGCUGAGAUCUCUUGACACUUCUUUCAACACAGUUAUGAGGGCCCUGCUUAGCUUGGGUGGCUUCAUGUUACAUAUGUUAAGACUUUGGGCUUGUAUAGCUUGCCACAAAGAGGUUUGUUUGCUUAUAGGUUACAACCACAUUGGGAUGUGUUAGAAUUAUUGGUUAUUGUGUAUGAGUUAUGUGUGUAUGAGUUGUGUUCAAGUGUGUUCCAACUAAGAGUGAGUUGGAAAGGAGUGUGGUUAGUUACUUUGUUUUCUAUAAAUGUAAGUGUAGAGGUGUUUAAGACCUCAAGUAAUACAUAUUUCUGUAUUCCAUUUUAACAUGAUGCAAACCAUAUGCACUUUAGAAUCUUUCCAAUUGCAUCCCGUAUGCACCUUAUAUGUGACAUCCAUGCAGCACUACACAUUGCCUCCAAUAUUAUAUUUCAUGAGAAGCAAACAUACUGACAUAGAUUAUCAUUCACAAGAGGCAACUUGGAGCCUGGAGACAUCGGCACUAGAUU